RNAcentral lists this ribosomal RNA (447 nucleotides) under uncultured bacterium. Its description in RNAcentral is "bacterial SSU rRNA". It matches the Rfam family "Bacterial small subunit ribosomal RNA", at positions 355 to 825 of the family's 1533-position model. The record is from RNAcentral.
UAACGAAUCUUCCGCAAUGGGCGAAAGCCUGACGGAGCAAUGCCGCGUGUGGGAUGAAGCGCCUUCGGCGUGUAAACCACUGUCAGGGAAUGGAACCAAUGAUUAUUCCCAAAGGAAGUGGCGACUAACUCUGUGCCAGCAGUCGCGGUAAUACAGAGGCCACAAGCGUUAGUCGGAAUCACUGGGCUUAAAGGGUGCGUAGGCGGGCCCGCAAGCGUCUUGUGAAAUCCCAUGGCUCAACCAUGGAAUUGCAGGGCGAACUGCGGGUCUUGAGGCAGGUAGGGGCCGGAAGAACAGUAGGUGGAGCGGUGAAAUGCGUAGAUAUCUACUGGAAUGCCGAUGGGGAAGCCGUCCGGCUGGGCCUGUCCUGACGCUGAGGCACGAAAGCGUGGGGAGCAAACAGGAUUAGAUACCCGGGUAGUCCCUGAGCGGGCUGGCAAGGCGCAU